Molecule: ribosomal RNA, 1697 nt
Filed under: Staphylococcus aureus
Lineage: Bacteria; Bacillati; Bacillota; Bacilli; Caryophanales; Staphylococcaceae
Description: partial 23S ribosomal RNA
Rfam family: Bacterial large subunit ribosomal RNA
Source: RNAcentral
UGAAACCGUGUGCUUACAAGUAGUCAGAGCCCGUUAAUGGGUGAUGGCGUGCCUUUUGUAGAAUGAACCGGCGAGUUACGAUUUGAUGCAAGGUUAAGCAGUAAAUGUGGAGCCGUAGCGAAAGCGAGUCUGAAUAGGGCGUUUAGUAUUUGGUCGUAGACCCGAAACCAGGUGAUCUACCCUUGGUCAGGUUGAAGUUCAGGUAACACUGAAUGGAGGACCGAACCGACUUACGUUGAAAAGUGAGCGGAUGAACUGAGGGUAGCGGAGAAAUUCCAAUCGAACCUGGAGAUAGCUGGUUCUCUCCGAAAUAGCUUUAGGGCUAGCCUCAAGUGAUGAUUAUUGGAGGUAGAGCACUGUUUGGACGAGGGGCCCCUCUCGGGUUACCGAAUUCAGACAAACUCCGAAUGCCAAUUAAUUUAACUUGGGAGUCAGAACAUGGGUGAUAAGGUCCGUGUUCGAAAGGGAAACAGCCCAGACCACCAGCUAAGGUCCCAAAAUAUAUGUUAAGUGGAAAAGGAUGUGGCGUUGCCCAGACAACUAGGAUGUUGGCUUAGAAGCAGCCAUCAUUUAAAGAGUGCGUAAUAGCUCACUAGUCGAGUGACACUGCGCCGAAAAUGUACCGGGGCUAAACAUAUUACCGAAGCUGUGGAUUGUCCUUUGGACAAUGGUAGGAGAGCGUUCUAAGGGCGUUGAAGCAUGAUCGUAAGGACAUGUGGAGCGCUUAGAAGUGAGAAUGCCGGUGUGAGUAGCGAAAGACGGGUGAGAAUCCCGUCCACCGAUUGACUAAGGUUUCCAGAGGAAGGCUCGUCCGCUCUGGGUUAGUCGGGUCCUAAGCUGAGGCCGACAGGCGUAGGCGAUGGAUAACAGGUUGAUAUUCCUGUACCACCUAUAAUCGUUUUAAUCGAUGGGGGGACGCAGUAGGAUAGGCGAAGCGUGCGAUUGGAUUGCACGUCUAAGCAGUAAGGCUGAGUAUUAGGCAAAUCCGGUACUCGUUAAGGCUGAGCUGUGAUGGGGAGAAGACAUUGUGUCUUCGAGUCGUUGAUUUCACACUGCCGAGAAAAGCCUCUAGAUAGAAAAUAGGUGCCCGUACCGCAAACCGACACAGGUAGUCAAGAUGAGAAUUCUAAGGUGAGCGAGCGAACUCUCGUUAAGGAACUCGGCAAAAUGACCCCGUAACUUCGGGAGAAGGGGUGCUCUUUAGGGUUAACGCCCAGAAGAGCCGCAGUGAAUAGGCCCAAGCGACUGUUUAUCAAAAACACAGGUCUCUGCUAAACCGUAAGGUGAUGUAUAGGGGCUGACGCCUGCCCGGUGCUGGAAGGUUAAGAGGAGUGGUUAGCUUCUGCGAAGCUACGAAUCGAAGCCCCAGUAAACGGCGGCCGUAACUAUAACGGUCCUAAGGUAGCGAAAUUCCUUGUCGGGUAAGUUCCGACCCGCACGAAAGGCGUAACGAUUUGGGCACUGUCUCAACGAGAGACUCGGUGAAAUCAUAGUACCUGUGAAGAUGCAGGUUACCCGCGACAGGACGGAAAGACCCCGUGGAGCUUUACUGUAGCCUGAUAUUGAAAUUCGGCACAGCUUGUACAGGAUAGGUAGGAGCCUUUGAAACGUGAGCGCUAGCUUACGUGGAGGCGCUGGUGGGAUACUACCCUAGCUGUGUUGGCUUUCUAACCCGCACCACUUAUCGUGGUGGGAGA